AUUGAACGCUGGCGGAAUGCUUUACACAUGCAAGUCGAGCGGCAGCGCGGGGGCAACCCUGGCGGCGAGCGGCGAACGGGUGAGUAAUACAUCGGAACGUGUCCUUAAGUGGGGGAUAGCUCGGCGAAAGCCGGAUUAAUACCGCAUAAGCUCUGAGGAGGAAAGCGGGGGAUUCGCAAGGACCUCGCGCUGUUGGAGCGGCCGAUGUCGGAUUAGCUAGUUGGUGGGGUAAAGGCCCACCAAGGCGACGAUCCGUAGCUGGUCUGAGAGGAUGAUCAGCCACACUGGAACUGAGACACGGUCCAGACUCCUACGGGAGGCAGCAGUGGGGAAUAUUGCGCAAUGGGCGAAAGCCUGACGCAGCGACGCCGCGUGGGUGAUGAAGGCCUU
RNAcentral lists this ribosomal RNA (390 nucleotides) under uncultured bacterium. Its description in RNAcentral is "bacterial SSU rRNA". It matches the Rfam family "Bacterial small subunit ribosomal RNA", at positions 29 to 418 of the family's 1533-position model. The record is from RNAcentral.